UUUUUUUUUCUGCUUCUUCUCUAGUCCCACUAAAGAUUGAGAUCCUUUAAAGCAAACUCAAUGUAAGUGUGGUGACUUCUGCUCUCCAGGCUUCAUGUGGGAGUCAUUGAAACAAAAAGAAGGAAGUUUCCUGCUCUGCUGCUCUGAGAACAAUGGUCCAUGUAUAUGGAAGACACUGCACUACCUCUGUUGAACAUAGAGAAUAAGCCCA
RNAcentral lists this long non-coding RNA (211 nucleotides) under Ornithorhynchus anatinus (platypus). RNAcentral describes it as "lncRNA (ENSOANG00000046365.1)". The record is from RNAcentral. Lineage: Eukaryota; Metazoa; Chordata; Mammalia; Monotremata; Ornithorhynchidae.